Molecule: ribosomal RNA, 460 nt
Filed under: uncultured bacterium
Lineage: Bacteria
Description: partial 16S ribosomal RNA
Rfam family: Bacterial small subunit ribosomal RNA
Source: RNAcentral
CCUACGGGUGGCUGCAGUGAGGAAUAUUGGUCAAUGGGCGCUAGCCUGAACCAGCCAAGUAGCGUGAAGGAUGACUGCCCUAUGGGUUGUAAACUUCUUUUAUAUGGGAAUAAAGUGCAGUAUGUAUACUGCUUUGCAUGUACCUUAUGAAUAAGGAUCGGCUAACUCCGUGCCAGCAGCCGCGGUAAUACGGAGGAUCCGAGCGUUAUCCGGAUUUAUUGGGUUUAAAGGGAGCGUAGGCGGGUUCUUAAGUCAGUUGUGAAAGUUUGCGGCUCAACCGUAAAAUUGCAGUUGAUACUGGGGUCGUUGAGUGCGGUGGAGGUAGGCGGAAGUCGUGGUGUAGCGGUGAAAUGCUUAGAUAGCACGAAGAACUCCGAUUGCGAAGGAAGCCUACUGUAGUGUUACUGACGCUGAGGCUCGAAGGUGCGGGUAUCGAACAGGAUUAGAUACCCUUGUAGUC